This 450-nucleotide ribosomal RNA is filed under the name uncultured bacterium. Its description in RNAcentral is "partial 16S ribosomal RNA". It matches the Rfam family "Bacterial small subunit ribosomal RNA", at positions 354 to 796 of the family's 1533-position model. The record is from RNAcentral.
GUGGGGAAUAUUCCGCAAUGGACGAAAGUCUGACGGAGCAACGCCGCGUGAGUGAUGAAGGUUUUCGGACUGUAAAGCUCUGUUGUUUAGGACGAAAGUGCCUGUUGCAAAUAGUUACAGGUAUUGACGGUACUGAACGAGGAAGCCACGGCUAACUACGUGCCAGCAGCCGCGGUAAUACGUAGGUGGCAAGCGUUGUCCGGAAUUAUUGGGCGUAAAGAGCAUGUAGGCGGGAAUCUAAGUCUGUUGUGAAAAUGCGGGGCUCAACCCCGUAUUGCGAUGGAAACUGGGUUUCUUGAGUGCAGGAGAGGAAAGGGGAAUUCCCAGUGUAGCGGUGAAAUGCGUAGAUAUUGGGAGGAACACCAGUGGCGAAGGCGGCUUUCUGGACGGUGUCUGACACUGAGGCGCGAAAGCCAGGGGAGCGAACGGGAUUAGAAACCCCAGUAGUCC